AUUUUCUUGUGGAAACAAUUCAAUUCACUUCAGUUCAGUUCAGUUCAGUCUUAUCUAAUGCAAUUCAACAAAACAGUUAGGUACUUGUGUGUACAAUGCCAUAGUAUGAAGGAUAUUAAUUAUUUAAUAAACAUAUUACAGCUCCGUGAUAAGCAAUUGCUUUUUUAAUCACUGAGUGACAGUGAAAAAACAGAAGAAACAGAAAGUUUGGAUAUGAUAGUUCCUCUCUUUGCAAUUUUUGGAUUUGAGGAUAAGAUGCAGACAGAUACUAAUAUUGUAACAAGAAAAGUUACAAUACACACAAUACAAAGUGGUGUAUGAGGCCCAAAGGGAGAAGAAGAUCAUUAUGGAAAGGGAGGAAUAGGAAUCAAGGAAGGCUUCACAGAGGAGUUGAAGAUGGAGAAGAAUGGACUACAUAAGAGUAGAGAGGUGAACAUAGUGAGUAUUCAGAAAACCAAAUAGUCCAGUUUUCUUAGAAAAUAAAGCAUUCAUGAAAGAGAGUUAUACUAUAGAGACUAGUGCAAGUUGGUGGCAGACUGUGAAGGGCUUUGAAAGAGGGUUAAAUUAUCGUUACUAUAUAGUAGGGAGUAAAAGGACAUUUUUGAACAUAGGCAUGACAUAGCCACAUCUGUGCAUAAGAAAGACUUCAGGAAAUUCUAUGAAGUGGAGUAGUGGAGACUGGAGGAGUUCGGGAAAAUUUGCAAGGCUGUUUCUAAGUUAGUAGAGAGGGUUUUCUUGACAUUAAAGGUUGUGGGAAUAGAGAAAGAAUGGGAAGAGGUAUCAGAAUGUUAGAGAUGUUAGGCUCCAUGCUAGCUGAUAAAGGCCAACCUAACCUGCAAUAUGAACUCCAUAAAUUUGAGUGGAAACUCCUAAAGGCGCCUGCCAUCUUUUUGAAUUGGCUCUUUUCUUCAAUGACAUAGAUCUGAACAUCUCAGUUCCCACACAUCCUCUCUGACUAAUGAUGGUUUCCCAUAAAAUCACCAUAGCAUGUUGGAGCCUGUCUUUACUUUUUCUUGAUGCUAUAAAUUGUACCUGGGAUGUGCUUGGGAUGUCUGCCUAUCAUCCUUUCCCUAUACCACAUGACCAGUCCAUUUUCUUUUCCUAUCAUAUAUUUCACCAUUGACACUUUUGACAAUUGUCUUUCAAAGUUCCUUGUUGUUUAUAGAGUAGUAUAUUAUUGCAUCUUCUCCAUUGUCUACUAUAUGAUAUUAAUUUUUAAUUCUUCAGAGACCAUUAUCAUCCAUAUCUCAUGGCCAUCCCAUAAUACUUGAAAUGCAUAACAAUAAUAUAAAUAUAAAAUAUGCUAUUUUUUGGUUUGCCUCCUCUUCUGGUUCUUGGAAUUCUUGACACUGUCUUUAGUAGUUCUGGUUGCCAAAUUAUGUUGCACCACUCUGUGGAGUACCUAAGAUGCCAGGCCAGUGGGCUUGUAUUUUGUUCUAGAGACAGUAGGAAGCCAUCGAUUAUUUUUGCGUUGGAUGAUGAUGUGGAUAGACCUAUGCCUUAGGAAGAAAAUUGUAGCACUUAUGCAAAAUAAUGGUUAGAAAGGAAAGAAACUACAGAUAAGAAAAGUAGAAUUCUAUUUUAAUAGUCCAAAUAAGAGUUGAUGGGGGCUUGAACAAGGGUGGUGGCAAAAUAAAUAGAAUGGAAAGGAUAAUAAAAAUACAUUGAAAGGAGAGUUUCUAAGUCUUGAAAACAGAAUGGAUAUUAGGAAUGUGGGAGAGGGAAGAAUCAAAGAUAACAUCAAGAAUUUGAAACUGUGGUACUAGAAAAGUGGUGGUGAGGAAGAGAGAAAGUCUAGGUUUAAAGUAAAAUGGUAGUGAGGAGGAGAAGUCUACAUUUAAGGGGGAAAAGUUCAAUUUUAGUUAUUCCCAGUCUGAAAUCAACUCAGAUACAACUCAUCUGGGACUAAAGUUUAAGCAAGAUAGGUUUAGAUAUAGAGAUCUGAUAUAGAAAUGAACUGCAUUGAUGUGACACAUGGAUUAUUGGAGUGGUUGAGAUCACAAUGAGUGUAUAAUGAGAGAAGAGAAGACCAAACACAAAAUCUUAAGGGAUACUUACAUUUAGAGAAUGGGAGGAGAAUGAUCCAAGAAAUAUGAAAAAGCAAUUUCACAGAAACCAAGGGAAGGAUGAGUAUUCAGUAAAGGUUAGUCAACAAAGUUAAAAUCCAUAUAAAUGUCAAGGAGGAUAAAGACUGAGAAAAGGGUAACAUUUAGUCACUAUCAUUGGUGAUAGUUGAAGACUAGCUUCAGGAUUAGGGGCAGGGAGAAAGUUGGAAGCUAGAUAGCAAAUUGUUACAGAAGGAAUGUUUUUUGAGGAAGUUAAGGAUACCUAAUGUAGACCAACAAUUAUUAUAAAUCAGGACUUGGUUUAUUGCUUUGUUUUUUGCUUAGGCUUAAAACCGGUUAACAAUGGAGAUUAAAUUUAAAAUUGUGUGUGCAUACCCUAUCCCCAUUCCCACCCCUACCUAUCCCCAGUCCAGUUUUUAAACAUAAUUUUUAUGUUUAAAAUUUUUUAGAGGAUAGGAGACUCAAGAAAAGGUCCUGAAGGAUAUAGGAGACCUUUGUAUGUAUAUAGGAAGGAGAAAAAGAGCCUGUAGACAGAAAAACAAAAUAGGGCUGAGAGGUUCCUUGGGGUGAGUUGGGGGACUAUUUUAUUUAAAAAAUAUUUUUAAUGCCAGAAAAUUCAGCUGGCCAUUACGUGUGGACAUUGAUUUUGUAAUGUAGGGUCACAUAUGCUAUAAUUAGUGUCCAGAGCUUCUCAUUUCACAAACACAUUGCCUGACCCCUGAAGCCAUGGAAUGGGGAAACACUUAGAAAACAUUCAGUGUCAUAGUUCACAAUACACAUUAUGGGAGAUCUUUCCUUGAAGAUUCUAGGAGGAAGAAAAUAGAAUUGAAGAAAGACCUAUGGCUAGGUGCCUAGAACAGUAGAGGGACAGGAAACAUUUUGACUAGGAACUCUGGCACUUGUGGUAAAUUUAUUUGAGCAGAAAUCUGGAAGGAGGAGGGAAGAGAGUUUAAGAUAUGAUAACAUCUAUACAAGAUUGAGAAAAUCAGAGGUGUAUGAUGGUACUGCAGAGCUGAGAGCCCAGAGUGUUUAAAGGAGGGAUGGUUUGAGAGGUUGAGAAGAAUCAUAGGAUCAUUGAUUUUUGCUCUAGAUGGGACUUUUGAAGUUAUUGAGUCCAAAACUCUCAUUUUAGAAAUGGAACAACUGAGGCCGAGAGUCAUACAGCUAAGUGUUUUUGAAAGAAUUUGAAUCCAGGACUUCCUGACUUUAAUUGCAACUCCAUUUAUCAAGCCACAUUGCCUCAAGAAGAUUGUAAGCCAGGGAAAAGGAAAAGAACAUGAAGUUCUCUCUGUGUUCCUUGCAGAAGAGGGGACAUUCUCUCUGGUAAAGAGCAGCUGUGGAAGUUUUGAAAUACCAUGAGAAAAAUCACUCCAGCAUUCUAGGUUGUGAAGAAGCAGGAAUCCCUCAAUGAUUCAACAGAUAAAUGUCCUAGCCUUAAAAAAAUUACAGCCACAUCUGACAGAAAUUAAAAACCAUACUUAAAUGGAAUUGCAUAGCAGUGACUUUAGAAUUUGGGACAUCCAUCAAAGUCAUUACAAGUUCAACUGAGAAGCUCAGAGCCCUAAGAAAAAUAGUAAUCAAAUACCCUUUGGAUAUUCAACCUAUAAUGUGGCUGGGAGAAGGCAGAGGGAGCUUCAAGAAAGCAGCCUCUUGAGAAGACUUCUUCUAAUGUACUGUAAUCUCCAUCUUGGAAAGCCAUGAUUUCAUCUUUAUCUUCCUGCCAUGAGAUGGUAACCGGAAGAGGUCUCUUCCUUCAAAAGGUCUGAAAUUCAUGACCUCAACUGAAUUUUUCCAGAUGACCACUGUCAAGAGGAGAAAUCCAAUCUUUUGCUUGACUUGAUAAAAGACAUUUACCCUAAAUGAGUUGUUCUUAUAAUAUAAUUCUGCUGCAAAAGUGUCUGCUCACUUAAAAAUAAAUUCUUAUUUGUGAUUUCCAAACCAAGCUAUCUCCUUUUCAGCUGUCAUCUUUAUUUAUACACCCCCUUUCCUGCCAGGAACCUUGCACUUUGCCAUUAGAACCAACCUGGGCUUUUCUAGAUGAGUUUUCACUUUCAGAUAAUUUCAGGUAAUUACCAGAACU
Long non-coding RNA from Sarcophilus harrisii (Tasmanian devil), 4146 nucleotides. RefSeq lists it as uncharacterized. The transcript has 5 exons. The record is from RefSeq and is a predicted model, not a curated record. Lineage: Eukaryota; Metazoa; Chordata; Mammalia; Dasyuromorphia; Dasyuridae.